Molecule: small nucleolar RNA, 132 nt
Organism: Echinops telfairi (small Madagascar hedgehog)
Lineage: Eukaryota; Metazoa; Chordata; Mammalia; Afrosoricida; Tenrecidae
Gene: SNORA70
Rfam family: Small nucleolar RNA SNORA70
About the family: snoRNA U70 seems to be exclusive to mammals and is a member of the H/ACA class of snoRNA which contain H (ANANNA) and ACA box motifs. H/ACA box snoRNAs are involved in the conversion of uridines to pseudouridines (5-ribosyluracil) a constituent of structural RNAs (transfer, ribosomal, small nuclear, and small nucleolar).
Source: Ensembl
CUUCAGCCAAUGACGUUAACCGUCCUCCUUCCUGCGGGACCAGUGUGCAAUGGCUUCAAACAGCAGCCUCCGCGGUAAUGGACACAGCCUGUUGGCAUGUAACGGCUUCCCUAAGAGACCUUGGGGACAGCC